RNAcentral lists this ribosomal RNA (682 nucleotides) under Enterococcus sp. FBPers-11_16-17. Its description in RNAcentral is "bacterial SSU rRNA". It matches the Rfam family "Bacterial small subunit ribosomal RNA", at positions 81 to 749 of the family's 1533-position model. Lineage: Bacteria; Bacillati; Bacillota; Bacilli; Lactobacillales; Enterococcaceae. The record is from RNAcentral.
CCGGAAAAAGAGGAGUGGCGAACGGGUGAGUAACACGUGGGUAACCUGCCCAUCAGAAGGGGAUAACACUUGGAAACAGGUGCUAAUACCGUAUAACAAUCAAAACCGCAUGGUUUUGAUUUGAAAGGCGCUUUCGGGUGUCGCUGAUGGAUGGACCCGCGGUGCAUUAGCUAGUUGGUGAGGUAACGGCUCACCAAGGCCACGAUGCAUAGCCGACCUGAGAGGGUGAUCGGCCACAUUGGGACUGAGACACGGCCCAAACUCCUACGGGAGGCAGCAGUAGGGAAUCUUCGGCAAUGGACGAAAGUCUGACCGAGCAACGCCGCGUGAGUGAAGAAGGUUUUCGGAUCGUAAAACUCUGUUGUUAGAGAAGAACAAGGAUGAGAGUAACUGUUCAUCCCUUGACGGUAUCUAACCAGAAAGCCACGGCUAACUACGUGCCAGCAGCCGCGGUAAUACGUAGGUGGCAAGCGUUGUCCGGAUUUAUUGGGCGUAAAGCGAGCGCAGGCGGUUUCUUAAGUCUGAUGUGAAAGCCCCCGGCUCAACCGGGGAGGGUCAUUGGAAACUGGGAGACUUGAGUGCAGAAGAGGAGAGUGGAAUUCCAUGUGUAGCGGUGAAAUGCGUAGAUAUAUGGAGGAACACCAGUGGCGAAGGCGGCUCUCUGGUCUGUAACUGACGCUGA